This 301-nucleotide ribosomal RNA is filed under the name uncultured bacterium. RNAcentral describes it as "partial 16S ribosomal RNA". It matches the Rfam family "Bacterial small subunit ribosomal RNA", at positions 509 to 807 of the family's 1533-position model. The record is from RNAcentral.
CAGCCGCCACGGUAAUACGUAGGUGGCAGGCGCUGUCCGGAACUAUUGGGCGUAAAGGGCUCGCAGGCGGUUUCUUAAGUCUGAUGUGAAAGCCCCCGGCUCAACCGGGGAGGGUCAUUGGAAACUGGGAAACUUAAGUGCAGAAGAGGAGAGUGGAAUUCCACGUGUAGCGGUGAAAUGCGUAGAGAUGUGGAGGAACACCAGUGGCGAAGGCGACUCUCUGGUCUGUAACUGACGCUGAGGAGCGAAAGCGUGGGGAGCAAACAGGAUUAGAUACCCCCGUAGUCCCUGUCUCUUAUAC